This 253-nucleotide ribosomal RNA is filed under the name uncultured bacterium. RNAcentral's name for it is "partial 16S ribosomal RNA". It matches the Rfam family "Bacterial small subunit ribosomal RNA", at positions 524 to 776 of the family's 1533-position model. The record is from RNAcentral.
UACGGAGGGGGCAAGCGUUGUUCGGAUUUACUGGGCGUAAAGGGCGCGUAGGCGGCGUGACAAGUCACUUGUGAAAUCUCCGGGCUUAACCCGGAGCGGCCAAGUGAUACUGUUGUGCUAGAGUGCGGAAGGGGCUACUGGAAUUCUCGGUGUAGCGGUGAAAUGCGUAGAUAUCGAGAGGAACGCCUGCGGCGAAGGCGGGUAGCUGGGCCGACACUGACGCUGAGGCGCGAAAGCCAGGGGAGCGAACAGG